This 504-nucleotide ribosomal RNA is filed under the name Serratia sp. ARE24_A. Its description in RNAcentral is "bacterial SSU rRNA". It matches the Rfam family "Bacterial small subunit ribosomal RNA", at positions 1002 to 1505 of the family's 1533-position model. Lineage: Bacteria; Pseudomonadati; Pseudomonadota; Gammaproteobacteria; Enterobacterales; Yersiniaceae. The record is from RNAcentral.
AGAGAUGCUUUGGUGCCUUCGGGAACUCUGAGACAGGUGCUGCAUGGCUGUCGUCAGCUCGUGUUGUGAAAUGUUGGGUUAAGUCCCGCAACGAGCGCAACCCUUAUCCUUUGUUGCCAGCGGUUCGGCCGGGAACUCAAAGGAGACUGCCAGUGAUAAACUGGAGGAAGGUGGGGAUGACGUCAAGUCAUCAUGGCCCUUACGAGUAGGGCUACACACGUGCUACAAUGGCGUAUACAAAGAGAAGCGACCUCGCGAGAGCAAGCGGACCUCAUAAAGUACGUCGUAGUCCGGAUUGGAGUCUGCAACUCGACUCCAUGAAGUCGGAAUCGCUAGUAAUCGUAGAUCAGAAUGCUACGGUGAAUACGUUCCCGGGCCUUGUACACACCGCCCGUCACACCAUGGGAGUGGGUUGCAAAAGAAGUAGGUAGCUUAACCUUCGGGAGGGCGCUUACCACUUUGUGAUUCAUGACUGGGGUGAAGUCGUAACAAGGAAACCCGUAA